AUGGCUAAUUCUGAGACGAAAGAAAGGUCUAAAACCAAAGUUGGGAAAGGCAGAAGGAGGAGAUGGAUUUGGGAGACAAGGCAACAACAGAACCUAACAGCAUGCUGUGCAGAGGAUGAACAGGAGACACAAAUACUGAAGUUCAACUGUAAGUGGCUGAAAGAAUGCUACAAAUUAUUCAAUAAAAACAGGAGAGAGGAGGAAAUGUCUACAAAAAAAUUAAUAUUAGAGGCUGGAGAAAAGAUCUGAAACCCGGCCGAGUGCAGUGGGUCACUCCUGUAAUCCCAGCCCUUUGGGAGGCAGAGGUGGGCGGAUCACCUGAGGUCGGGAGUUCGAGACCAGCCUGACCAACAUGGUGAAACUCCGUCUCUACUAAAAAUAGCCGGGCGUGGUGGCACAUGCCUGUAAUCCCACUACUCGGGAGGCUGGAGCAAGAGAAUCGCUUGAACCUGGGAGGCGGAGGUUGCAGUGAGCCAAGAUCGUGCCAUUGCAGUCCAGCCUGGGCAACAAGAGUGAAACUUUGUCUCAAAAAAAAAAAAAACAAAGAAAAGAAAUCUGAAACCCAGCCUCUGAGUGGGGCCUACUGCAAGAAAACUACAAAUCCAGGUGUAUUCUAAGCACUGUCUGUAAAAAUUAUGAUGGCACAAACUUUCAUGAUAUGAGUGUCUGAAGAAUACAAUGACCUGUAAUCUUUGCAUAGAACUGUCUAGAGCCUUCUUCCUGAGUCUAAAGUAAAAUGCAGCAAAUUACAGCUAUAACUGCACAUGCUUCUUUAGCAUUUGUACUUUAUUAUGGACUAAAAUCCCACACUUGUGAGAAGAAGUCAUUGCCAGUGGAGAGAAGGAUACGGUGGGACUGUGUGUCUGUGGGGCUGGAGUUUCCAUAAUCCCAGAAAUGUUUUGAUAUUAAAAAUAUUGGGCAUUUAGCUGCAAAAAGGAAUGAAGCACUGACUCAAGUCACAAUGUGGAUGAACCUUAAAACAUUACGCUAAGUGAAAGAAGCCAGGCACAAAAUGACACAGAUUGUAUGAUUCCUUUUAUGUGAACUACCCAGAACAGUUAAAUCCACAGAAACAGAAAGCAGAUUAGGGGUUACCUCGGGCUACAGGGAGUAGGGAAUGGGGAGUGACUGCUUAGUGAGGAUGGG
Molecule: long non-coding RNA, 1146 nt
Filed under: Pongo abelii (Sumatran orangutan)
Lineage: Eukaryota; Metazoa; Chordata; Mammalia; Primates; Hominidae
Description: lncRNA (ENSPPYG00000033785.1)
Source: RNAcentral